This 301-nucleotide ribosomal RNA is filed under the name uncultured bacterium. Its description in RNAcentral is "partial 16S ribosomal RNA". It matches the Rfam family "Bacterial small subunit ribosomal RNA", at positions 509 to 807 of the family's 1533-position model. The record is from RNAcentral.
CAGCCGCCGCGGUAAUACGAAGGGGGCUAGCGUUGCUCGGAAUGACUGGGCGUAAAGGGCGCGUAGGCGGCGAUCAAAGUCAGGCGUGAAAUUCCUGGGCUCAACCUGGGGGCUGCGCUUGAUACUUGGUUGCUUGAGUGGGGAAGAGGGUCGUGGAAUUCCCAGUGUAGAGGUGAAAUUCGUAGAUAUUGGGAAGAACACCGGUGGCGAAGGCGGCGACCUGGUCCUUGACUGACGCUGAGGCGCGAAAGCGUGGAGAGCAAACAGGAUUAGAUACCCCCGUAGUCCCUGUCUCUUAUAC